CAUUUCUCUUCAUAUUCAUCAGCUGAAAAACAGCCAUGGAAGGGGGUUCAAGCUGGUUUUCAUGCUCUAGCUUCAUGUUGCGCAUGGGAGCCUGCAACCAUGAUGAACUUGUACGAUCCAUCGCAUUUGAGGGAGGUCAUUAGGCUCAAUUAGACUGGUCCAUUGUUUGGAGAGAUUGAAAGCCCAUCUCCGGAGCUCGGUAAAUAUGGAAAGUAAUCUUCAAAGAUAUGCUUGGCAAAUAUGGAAGGUGAACUUAUAUGUGAUCAUAGACAUUAAAUGUAAUCUUUAGAAAAUACGAUUCUGUAAUCUUAGAGAUUUGAUAUUGGGAUAGCUUUUAAUCUUAGCAAUUGAUGUAUUUCGAUAUGUACCGUUGAUUUUGGGGAGGCUCAGUUAUAAAUAGAGGCCUCUCCCUCUCAUCGUAAUUCAUUUAGUUAUUAAUAGAA
This is a long non-coding RNA of Gossypium arboreum, 443 nucleotides long. RefSeq lists it as uncharacterized. NCBI's taxonomy places the organism in Eukaryota, Viridiplantae, Streptophyta, Magnoliopsida, Malvales, Malvaceae. The record is from RefSeq and is a predicted model, not a curated record. The transcript is spliced from 2 exons.